UUUGAGCAUCACUUCUCCUCUGGAGACACCUGUGGCCUUUCUCUCCCUUGGGCCUUUCUCCAGGACUGGGAUGGGAAACGGUGGGACCACGCUCACUGGGGGGCUCCUCUCCCCCCCCUCCUGUUCCCCACCCACCAUCCACAGGCCCCUGCAUCUGCCUCUUCCCAGAAAGAAUGCACGCCCCACGUUCAAGGCAAUAGCGAGCAGCAGGACUGUACUGAAGGGAACGUGGAUUUCAUUGCCAAGUUCUACAACCUACCCUCUCACUCUACAGAGGAAGUGCCCAUUCUGAAAAAGACUUUCGAAAUCAGAAACUUCCUGAAGUGUGUACAUACAUGGAUCCUUUGACCAGCAGAAGGGAGUCUGGCAAAGUUGCUGAGGCUGGCUUCAAAUCUAUGAUCCUCCUGCAUCAGUCUACUGAGUUGUUGGGACUACAAGUAUGUGCUACUGUGCCCCUGUGAACUUGUGGGAAACAAUAGGGCCACACCCUCUGGGCUCCCCUCCUUUGUGUUCAGCCAGGCUCCCUCCUAUUCCCCUCCCAUCAUCAAUAGCCCUGAUGUUGAUGCACUAGAUACUGAUACUGAUGUUUACUACCAACAGAUUGUGUGUGUGUGUGUGUGUGUGUGUGUGUGUGUGUGUGUGUUGGGGUGGAUCCCAGGGCCUCACACAUGGUAAGAAUUUGUUGUGAU
This is a long non-coding RNA of Urocitellus parryii (Arctic ground squirrel), 689 nucleotides long. RefSeq lists it as uncharacterized. The record is from RefSeq and is a predicted model, not a curated record. NCBI's taxonomy places the organism in Eukaryota, Metazoa, Chordata, Mammalia, Rodentia, Sciuridae.